RNAcentral lists this ribosomal RNA (40 nucleotides) under Stevia veronicae. RNAcentral's name for it is "partial 26S rRNA". The record is from RNAcentral. Lineage: Eukaryota; Viridiplantae; Streptophyta; Magnoliopsida; Asterales; Asteraceae.
UCGUGACCCCAGGUCAGGCGGGACUACCCGCUGAGUUUAA